UUGGCCCUGAAUCAAGGCCAUCAGUUUGCUGAAGCUGUUGGUUUCAAGCAGGUGCCUAAAAAAUGUCUUUCUCUGGUCUGUUGGCCUUUCCAGAAAUUUUUAAAUGUUAUGGUUAGUUCAUUAGAAAGAAACAUCU
Small nucleolar RNA from Myodes glareolus (Bank vole), 136 nucleotides. Lineage: Eukaryota; Metazoa; Chordata; Mammalia; Rodentia; Cricetidae. The record is from RefSeq and is a predicted model, not a curated record.